AUUACAUGGACUGCCAACUCUACGCACUAAGCCUAUAUUUUUCAAUAAACAAGUCCCGUUCACGGAGGCGUCCUUGGUUGCGUGGUAAAUUGACUUCCGGUAGAUUUUUUUUUACGUAUAAAGAAACCAUUCCAGAAGAUUUUUACCACCACUUUUACAGCAAAUCAUGAAUGGAAACUGAAUUGUUAAAGAAGAUGUUACAGAGAGCAUACUACUUCCACAAACCUGAUUUGAUUGUCACUAACUUUCAAAUUGAAAGGGAUCUACUACAACUGCUCAUGAAUUUCGAGAUUUUACAGCUAAUAGAGGAACAAAUUUUAUCUGCUUCCACUUAGCCAAACAGCAUGGAAAUAUGCUAUUGUAAUGAGUAGAAGAUAUUUGUCAUUUAGAGUAUCAUGCAACAGCUAAUUAUC
Biomphalaria glabrata is the source of this 413-nucleotide long non-coding RNA. RefSeq lists it as uncharacterized. NCBI's taxonomy places the organism in Eukaryota, Metazoa, Mollusca, Gastropoda, Planorbidae. The transcript has 3 exons. The record is from RefSeq and is a predicted model, not a curated record.